GACAGAGGCCUCGAGCGUUAGGCGGAAUCACUGGGCUUAAAGCGUGUGUAGGCGGAUCGUUAAGUACCUUGUGAAAUCCCACGGCUCAACCGUGGAACGGCUGGGUAUACUGGCGGUCUUGGGCCACCUAGGGGCGAGCGGAACAAACGGUGGAGCGGUGAAAUGCGUAGAUAUCGUUUGGAACGCCGAUGGUGAAAACAGCUCGCUGGGGGUGUGCCGACGCUGAGACACGAAAGCCAGGGGAGCAAACGGG
Molecule: ribosomal RNA, 253 nt
Filed under: uncultured bacterium
Lineage: Bacteria
Description: partial 16S ribosomal RNA
Rfam family: Bacterial small subunit ribosomal RNA
Source: RNAcentral